This 313-nucleotide ribosomal RNA is filed under the name Microlophus quadrivittatus (four-banded Pacific iguana). Its description in RNAcentral is "partial 12S ribosomal RNA". It matches the Rfam family "Bacterial small subunit ribosomal RNA", at positions 867 to 1341 of the family's 1533-position model. The record is from RNAcentral. Lineage: Eukaryota; Metazoa; Chordata; Lepidosauria; Squamata; Tropiduridae.
GUCCGCCAGAGAACUACAAGCGAAAAGCUUAAAACUCAAAGGACUUGGCGGUGUCCCACACUCAACUUAGAGGAGCCUGUCCUAUAAUCGAUGAUCCACGAUAAACCCAACCACCCUUUGCCCAAACUCCGCCUAUAUACCGCCGUCGCAAACCCACCUUACAAAAGAACAACAGUGGGUACAAUAGUUUAAACACUAAAACGACAGGUCAAGGUGUAGCUAAUGGGGUGGAAGAGAUGGGCUACAUUCUUUAAUUCCCAAAGCAAACAGAAAGGGCCAUGAAACAGGCUCCCAAAGGAGGAUUUAACAGUAA